GUUUUUUUUUUUUUUUUAUAAAUAUUCUAGUGAAGUUUCAAUUAGUGAUAUUCUCAGCCUCGGUUUUGUGAUUGCUGAAUGUUGUAAAGAAUUAAGCGCAAGAAUGGGAGAAAACAUAAUAUUGUGAUUCAAGGGUCCAGAUGUGAGUACUUGAGAGACGUCGACGAUGAGUGAAGCAAGAGGGUUCCCUGGGGUGCUUUGAUCCACCGGGCAUAUGCACUGAAAAUGGGAGAGUUACCCGUGGCAGAACAUGAGCAAUUCAUCAGUCAUUGACAUGAUCCAACGAUCAUACUCAAAGCGGUUUCAUCCAAAGAUAUAUCAAUUUGGACUUUCUCCUUUGGGAUGCCUAGCUCAAGCAACUAGAUCAAUGCAUUGUAAAUAUAUCAUCGAUUUGCAAGGGUGGUUGCGGUGGAAACUCCACCAUGCAACUUCAAAGUCGAUGGUCAUAACUAUAAGUCUAUAAUGUGGGAUACUGCAUCAAGAUGCCAUUUAUUUCGCUUGACCAAACUUUUUCGAAACAAUAUCAAACCCUCAAGGUAAUAAUAGAGUCCAUAAUGCAAGGUUUUGUGGGAACAAUUGUGAUCCAUGAGAGAGUUACUAGCUGACACCACAGAUUUCUUGAGAUCCACCGAAGGAUAGAAGACGUCUCAUUAGAUGAGUAUCUCCACGACGACCUUGUUGAGCAUAUAUACAUAUGUGACAGUAACAUGCGCAACAGUUUUGUGACAUUUCAUCAUUUUUAUUUAGAUUAUCUAGUACAUUUUGGAGCUCAUGGUAUAAUUGAAUUUCAAAAUCUCAAAAUUAUGAAUUUGAAAAGUUUUUCAAUUAUGCGUUGUAGAAACAUACAAGUUUGAACUUUUAGAUGUAAAAUUGGAGUUAGAUGAAGUUCAUAUGCAUGAAGAGGAGAUAAAUGGAAGAUAAUGCAGUAUAUGCGCUAAAUUACUAGGAAUUGUCAAAGGAGUGCUCCCUCAAAAGAUGAUUUUUAGGGGCUCCACUAAGACCAUUUUAGGAUCACAUAUCGAUAUGUUUUGAUGAUUUUUUUGGUUAAAAUUUGUCAUGUCUAUUGCACAUAAAUUGACAUGAUGUUUACAAUGAAGUUGUCACGAUAUGUUUGAACUACUUUUUGUUCUACAGUUAAAGUAAAUUUUGACAUGUUCUAAAAAAGAGAAUUAAGAAACUAAACUUGCCAUGGUGAAUUACAAAAAAUUGCCAUGAUCCAUGAAAUAAUUUUGACAUGGUUCAUAGUAAAAUAUAAAUCCAUCAUCAAUUACUUUAAAAAUGCAUGAUUAAUGAUUCAAAUUUGUCAUGAACCAUAAACUAAAAUUGCCACAGUGAAUUACUUAAAAUUUUCAUGAUACAUGCACUAAAAUGUGCCAUGGUUCGUACAAAAAAUAUUUUUCAUGGUCAAAAUACUAGAAUUGCCAUAGUCAAAAUACUAAAAUUGCCAUGAUCUAUAAACUAAAAUUGUCAUGAUCUAUAAACUAAAUUUGCCAUAAUGAAUUACUAAAAAUUUCCAUGAUCCAUGAAUUAAUUUUGCCGUGGUUAAUUACUAAAAAUCUUCAUGGUCAAUUAAUAAAAUUUACCGUGAAAAGUAGUUGAAAUAAAAUGGUAGCUUUAAAUGUAGAAGAAAAUACUAGAUGGAACAUAUCAUGGCAACUUUAGUGUAAACACUAUAGCAACUUCAAUGUAAAUAUCAUGGCAACUUUUGGCCCAAAAAAGGUCGUCGAAACAUAUCAAUAUGAGAUCUAGUUUUGAUGAUCUCGUCGAGACGGGUUUAAUGAUGAAGCGGAUUUUUAAUUGGAUUUUUAUUUAAGAGAUAAAACAUUUUGAGUCCGAAAAACCAAAAAGAUUCUGCUGAUUUCAUCUGUUUGAUGUGGCAAGAUGGAUGGUAAUGAGGCAUUUGGACUAUGUUGCUUCAUGGCACACGUGAGGCACUUAGCAUUUGGGUAUUUAAAAUGAUGAAAUUGAGGUGAUUAUUAGAUAAUAGAUAAAAAAACAAAAACGAAAGAAAAACGACCAUAAAGCCCGACUCGCAGUCCAACACACGUUGCACCCGUCGGGCCAUCGGCCCAUGCCAUCCAUUCCGAAUGCAAAUGGAGGCACCUGUGGACGGACAUUCCUAUUUGACGCAUCCUGCGUCAAACUGAGGCUGUUUUGCACAGGGAGAUAGAGCGAUGUUCGAGUUAGGCCGGCCCGUUUAAGCGUUUCGACGUCCCCAGUGUUGGGAACCUUCUAGAGGUUCCCAACCGGUUUUUUUUCCAGGAAAUUUCUACAAGUUUCCAAAACUGUUUUUUCUUGUUCUUUUUUUUUCACUUUCCUUUUUCCCUUUUCUUUUUUUCUUGUCUCUCUUUUGUUCCCUUUUCUGUUUUUUCUUUUUUCUAUUUCCUUUUCUCUUUCCUUUACUUUCAUUUUAAUGUUUCAUUUUCAAUUUAAUUUUUGUUUCUUAAAAACAUGUUUUUUUUAAAUCAUCGUUUGUUCAUAAAUCCAAAAAAUGUUCAUGAUUUUACAAAAAUGUUUGUAUUUUUCAAUAAACAUUCGGAAUGUUUCGGUUCAGAAUGUUCACAACUUUUCAAAGAAUGGUGCCCUUGUAAAAAAUGUUCAAUUGUAGAAAGACCAUAUUUAAAAAUUGUUCGCAACUGUCCAAUUUUUCAGGAGUUCAAAAAAUGUUCAUGUUACAAAAAAUGUUUGCAAAUUUUAAGCAAUGUUUGUGGUUUUCAAAUUUAGUUCAGAAUGUUUUUCUUUGAAAUGCUCACAAAUUUCAAAAAUAGUUCAAUUUUUUUGAAAAUGUUCAUGUUUCCAUUUUUCAAGAGUAUGAAAUUUUUUUGCUUUUCAAAAAUUGUUCACAAAUUUCAAAACAUAUUCGUGUGUUUAUAAAAUUGUUUGUAAGGUUACUAAAAAAAUAUUCAAUUGCAUAAACAUGUUCAAUUUAUUUUCAAAACAUGAACAUUUAUUUUCUUUUUUCUAUUUCCUUUUCUCUUUCCUUUACUUCCAUUUUAAUGUUUAUUUUCAAUUUAAUUUUUGUUUCUUAAAAACAUGUUCAAUUUCAUAAAUCCAAAAAAUGUUCAUGCUUUUACAAAAGUGUUUGUAUUUUUCAAUAAAUGUUCAGAACGUUUCGGUUCAGAAUGUUCACAACUUUUCAAAAAAUGUUUCCAUUAUCAGAAAACGUUCAAUUGUAGAAAAACCAUAUUUCAAAAAUUGUCCGCAACUGCCAUUUUUUUAGGAGUUCAAAAAAUGUUCAUGUUACAAAAAAUGUUUGCAAAUUUCAAACAAUGUUUGUUUUUUUUAAAUUUUGUUCAGAAAAUUUUUCUUUGAAAUGCUCACAAGUUUCAAAAAUAGUUCAAUAUUUUUGAAAAUGUUCAUGUUUCCAUUUUUUAAGAGUAUGAAUAAUUGUCAGCGUUUCAAAAAUUGUUCACAAAUUUCAAAACAUGUUAGUGUGUUUAUAAAAUUGUUUGUAAGGUUACUAAAAAAAUAUUCAGAACUUAAAAAAAAUGUUGCUGUUUUCAAUAAUGUUAAAAAAUGUUCAUGUUUUCAUUUUGUGGGUUUCGAAAUUUUUUCAGAGUUUUUGAAAAAUGUUCAUGUUUCAAAUUUUCUUUGGAGCUUAAAAAAAAUGUCCGCCUUGCGUUGUGGAACAAAAAAUGUUCCUGUUUCAAAAAUUGUUCACGGUUUUCAGAAAAUGUACAGUUUUUAAUGAUUUGAGCUGCCUUAGAAAAAAAUGCAUUCGAUAUUUCAGAAAUAUUUCGAAUCUGCAUUGGGGUGUGGUUCUUAAGAGUUUUUGUUGCCUUACGAUCAGCAAAGCUCGUUAGCUCAGCUGGUUUGUAUUGCCUUGCCUCAUCGGACGAGAUAUGGGCUUGAUACAACUUGAGGGCGCAAUUUGUUUCGAGCUAUAAAUCGUAGCCUGUCGCUACCUUCAUGGGCUGGCCCAGUCGUAGACUGCCUUGUGCGUGCGUUCGGCAACCUGCCGCAGAGAGCAGCAGAUAGGAGCUCCCCCGUGGACCGUACAGAUUUGAUCAGAUUUGCUGGCAUAGGGACGAGUACGAAACAUGCAAGCAGCUCACAACCCGAAUCGUACGUACACAUUGCAUUUCAAAUUUCCCCCCAAAUUACCUUGGAUGCAUACAUGACAGUACAUCAUCCUCAUCGUUCACAGAUAGUACAUGGAAUGGAAGCAAACACUAACGAAGACACACUCGAUCGGUAGAGAAAACAAGCAGCAAACGCGGCGGCGAGCUGCGGAAAACAGAGACGCGUGCAAAGACCAGCAGAAUCCAGGACCCGAACAGCAGCACACACUGGAGGCCCUCUGUCCUCUGAUAUAUCUACAGUUCAGUGCCUCCGACCAUCACCGAGACGGCGGCCGGCCGAUCUAGCGGCUGCCGAAGGAGGCGGACGAGCCGAACUUGGUGGCGCUGGCCCUCAGCACGUACUGGUGGUACAAGGCGGCGAUGGCGGCGCCGAUGAAUGGCC
RNAcentral lists this long non-coding RNA (4464 nucleotides) under Triticum aestivum (bread wheat). RNAcentral describes it as "long non-coding RNA (TAES_LNC022836)". Lineage: Eukaryota; Viridiplantae; Streptophyta; Magnoliopsida; Poales; Poaceae. The record is from RNAcentral.